This 729-nucleotide ribosomal RNA is filed under the name Triticum aestivum (bread wheat). Its description in RNAcentral is "partial small subunit ribosomal RNA". The record is from RNAcentral. Lineage: Eukaryota; Viridiplantae; Streptophyta; Magnoliopsida; Poales; Poaceae.
AUGAGGAGGGCGUGCAGUGCGAAGGAAGGGGUGAAGAGAGGGGCAUGGACGAGCAAGGAGGACGAAACCUUGGCCUCCUACAUCAAGGCGCAUGGCGAAGGCAGAUGGAAGGAAGUCCCCUUGAAAGCUGGCCUGCGGCGGUGCGGCAAGAGCUGCCGGCUGCGGUGGCUCAACUACCUCCGGCCGAGCAUCAAGCGGGGCAACAUCUCCGACGACGAGGAGGAGCUCAUCGUCAGGCUCCACCGCCUCCUCGGCAACAGGUGGUCCCUCAUCGCGGGCAGGCUGCCCGGCCGAACAGACAACGAAAUCAAGAACUACUGGAACAGCACCCUCGGGCGGAAGGCGCUCCCGGAGCGAGCUGCCACCAGGGUGGUCGCCACGCCCUGCGCCUCCGCCAGCUCCGGCUCCUCCACAGGGGCGUCGACAGCAGGGCUGUCCUCUAACUGCGGGGCUGGUACAAGUGCCAAGGCUGCGGGGCUGCUGUCGUCGGCCUCGGUGUGGGUGCCCAAGCCCGUGAGGUGCACAGGCGGUCUCUUCCUCAGCGGGGAUGCGCCGCUGCCCGCGCCGGUCACGCAGACGCGGGCCGUGGGUGGAGACGGAGAUGAGUGCAGCGGCAGCAGCUUGGCGGCAUCGUCGGGCGGCGGCGACUGGAUGGACGACGUGAGAGCCUUGGCGUCGUUCCUCGAGUCCGACGAGGACUGGGUCAACUCCCUGCACAUGGCGGAUUAA